Molecule: ribosomal RNA, 876 nt
Filed under: Hymenoscyphus scutula
Lineage: Eukaryota; Fungi; Ascomycota; Leotiomycetes; Helotiales; Helotiaceae
Description: partial large subunit ribosomal RNA
Rfam family: Eukaryotic large subunit ribosomal RNA
Source: RNAcentral
AAGAACCAACAGGGAUUACCUCAGUAACGGCGAGUGAAGCGGUAACAGCUCAAAUUUGAAAUCUGGCUCUUUCAGGGUCCGAGUUGUAAUUUGUAGAAGAUGCUUCGGGUGUAGCUCCGGUCUAAGUUCCUUGGAACAGGACGUCAUAGAGGGUGAGAAUCCCGUAUGUGACUGGUUGCUUUCGCCCAUGUGAAGCUCUUUCGACGAGUCGAGUUGUUUGGGAAUGCAGCUCUAAAUGGGUGGUAAAUUUCAUCUAAAGCUAAAUAUUGGCCAGAGACCGAUAGCGCACAAGUAGAGUGAUCGAAAGAUGAAAAGCACUUUGGAAAGAGAGUUAAACAGUACGUGAAAUUGUUGAAAGGGAAGCGCUUGCAACCAGACUUGCACCCCGUCGAUCAUCCCCCGUUCUCGGAGGUGCACUCGGCGGGGUUCAGGCCAGCAUCGGUUUCGGUGGUGGGAUAAAGGCCUUGGGAACGUAGCUCCUCUCGGGGAGUGUUAUAGCCCUCGGUGCAAUGCCGCCUACCGGGACCGAGGACCGCGCUUCGGCUAGGAUGCUGGCGUAAUGGUUGUAAGCGACCCGUCUUGAAACACGGACCAAGGAGUCUAACAUCUAUGCGAGUGUUUGGGUGUUAAACCCAUACGCGUAAUGAAAGUGAACGGAGGUGAGAACCCUUUAGGGUGCAUCAUCGACCGAUCCUGAUGUCUUCGGAUGGAUUUGAGUAAGAGCAUAGCUGUUGGGACCCGAAAGAUGGUGAACUAUGCCUAAAUAGGGUGAAGCCAGAGGAAACUCUGGUGGAGGCUCGCAGCGGUUCUGACGUGCAAAUCGAUCGUCAAAUUUGGGUAUAGGGGCGAAAGACUAAUCGAACCAUCUAGUAGCUG